GCCUGGGUGGCUCAGUCGGUAAAGCGUCUGACUUCCACUCAGGUUAUGAUCUCGCAGUUUGUGAGUUCGAGCCCCGCGUCGGGCU
This 85-nucleotide transfer RNA is filed under the name Felis catus (domestic cat). It matches the Rfam family "tRNA". From Rfam's summary of the family: Transfer RNA (tRNA) molecules are approximately 80 nucleotides in length. The record is from Rfam by way of RNAcentral. Lineage: Eukaryota; Metazoa; Chordata; Mammalia; Carnivora; Felidae.